UUAACUGAAACCAAAAAAGAGGUAUAUUACUGUUAAUAAUAUUAUUGAAUAAUUCUUCCAGUUAAG
RNAcentral lists this transfer RNA (66 nucleotides) under Pseudophoraspis kabakovi. RNAcentral's name for it is "tRNA-Asn". The record is from RNAcentral. Lineage: Eukaryota; Metazoa; Arthropoda; Insecta; Blattodea; Blaberidae.